This is a non-coding RNA of Pelagophyceae sp. CCMP2097, 76 nucleotides long. The record is from the annotation of a GenBank genome assembly. Lineage: Eukaryota; Pelagophyceae.
GCGAGCGUGGCCGAAUGGACAAGGAGCUUGACUGCGAAUCAUGAGAUUCCGGGUUCGAGUUGGCCGGCCCACUACA